Molecule: ribosomal RNA, 910 nt
Filed under: Latilactobacillus curvatus
Lineage: Bacteria; Bacillati; Bacillota; Bacilli; Lactobacillales; Lactobacillaceae
Description: bacterial SSU rRNA
Rfam family: Bacterial small subunit ribosomal RNA
Source: RNAcentral
CGGUGCAUUAGUUAGUUGGUGAGGUAAAGGCUCACCAAGACCGUGAUGCAUAGCCGACCUGAGAGGGUAAUCGGCCACACUGGGACUGAGACACGGCCCAGACUCCUACGGGAGGCAGCAGUAGGGAAUCUUCCACAAUGGACGAAAGUCUGAUGGAGCAACGCCGCGUGAGUGAAGAAGGUUUUCGGAUCGUAAAACUCUGUUGUUGGAGAAGAACGUAUUUGAUAGUAACUGAUCAGGUAGUGACGGUAUCCAACCAGAAAGCCACGGCUAACUACGUGCCAGCAGCCGCGGUAAUACGUAGGUGGCAAGCGUUGUCCGGAUUUAUUGGGCGUAAAGCGAGCGCAGGCGGUUUCUUAAGUCUGAUGUGAAAGCCUUCGGCUCAACCGAAGAAGUGCAUCGGAAACUGGGAAACUUGAGUGCAGAAGAGGACAGUGGAACUCCAUGUGUAGCGGUGAAAUGCGUAGAUAUAUGGAAGAACACCAGUGGCGAAGGCGGCUGUCUGGUCUGUAACUGACGCUGAGGCUCGAAAGCAUGGGUAGCAAACAGGAUUAGAUACCCUGGUAGUCCAUGCCGUAAACGAUGAGUGCUAGGUGUUGGAGGGUUUCCGCCCUUCAGUGCCGCAGCUAACGCAUUAAGCACUCCGCCUGGGGAGUACGACCGCAAGGUUGAAACUCAGAGGAAUUGACGGGCGCCCGCACAAGCGGUGGAGCAUGUGGUUUAAUUCGAAGCAACGCGAAGAACCUUACCAGGUCUUGACAUCCUUUGACCACUCUAGAGAUAGAGCUUUCCCUUCGGGGACAAAGUGACAGGUGGUGCAUGGUUGUCGUCAGCUCGUGUCGUGAGAUGUUGGGUUAAGUCCCGCAACGAGCGCACCCUUAUUACUAGUUGCCAGCAUUUAGUGGGCACU